RNAcentral lists this ribosomal RNA (449 nucleotides) under uncultured bacterium. Its description in RNAcentral is "partial 16S ribosomal RNA". It matches the Rfam family "Bacterial small subunit ribosomal RNA", at positions 29 to 523 of the family's 1533-position model. The record is from RNAcentral.
AACGAACGCUGGCGGCAUGCCUAACACAUGCAAGUCGAACGAAGCCUUCGGGCUUAGUGGCGCACGGGUGCGUAAAGCGUGGGAAUCUGCCCUUGGGUUCGGAAUAACAGUUAGAAAUGACUGCUAAUACCGGAUGAUGUCUUCGGACCAAAGAUUUAUCGCCAGAGGAUGAGCCCGCGUAGGAUUAGGUAGUUGGUGGGGUAAUGGCCCACCAAGCCGACGAUCCUUAGCUGGUCUGAGAGGAUGAUCAGCCACACUGGGACUGAGACACCGCCCAGACUCCUACGGGGGGCAGCAGUGGGGAAUAUUGGACAAUGGGCGAAAGCCUGAUCCAGCAAUGCCGCGUGAGUGAUGAAGGCCUUAGGGUUGUAAAGCUCUUUUACCAGGGAUGAUAAUGACAGUACCUGGAGAAUAAGCUCCGGCUAACUCCGUGCCAGCAGCCGCAGUAA